Molecule: unclassified non-coding RNA, 358 nt
Filed under: soil metagenome
Description: partial contains 5.8S ribosomal RNA, internal transcribed spacer 2, and large subunit ribosomal RNA
Rfam family: 5.8S ribosomal RNA (bases 1-120)
Source: RNAcentral
GAUGAAGAACGUAGCGAAAUGCGAUAAGUAGUGUGAAUUGCAGACUUUAGUGAAUCAUCGAAUCUUUGAACGCACAUUGCGCCCGUCAGUAUUCUGGCGGGCAUGCCUGUUCGAGCGUCAUUACGCCCCUCAAGUCCCCUGUGGACUUGGUGUUGGGGAUCGGCGAGGCUGGUUUUCCAGCACAGCCGUCCCUUAAAUUAAUUGGCGGUCUCGCCGUGGCCCUCCUCUGCGCAGUAGUAAAACACUCGCAACAGGAGCCCGGCGCGGUCCACUGCCGUAAAACCCCCCAACUUUUUAUAGUUGACCUCGAAUCAGGUAGGACUACCCGCUGAACUUAAGCAUAUCAAUAAGCGGAGGA